CAAUAAUAGGUUUUUCAAAAGGCCCAUAAACUUUCCUGCAACUUUUCCUUUGACAUCAAGGUUUUCACAUUCUAUGCGCGGUACUAUAGAAUUCUGUACAAUCGGAUGGAAGUAUUCUUCUGCCAUCACAUUCUACUGCAUCACAAUCAACUGCUCUACCGGAUACAGCUAACCAACCUGCGGUAAUUAUCUCAUGGCUCUCACACAGAUCAGAUGUUUUAUCAUAUUUUGCCUUGAAUCACCUCACCAAUAAACAUCCAAGCACAACUGAAUCGGCCAAUACACGCGCUCGACUAUAACGAAGGGUAGUUGAACUUAUAUGCUAUAGCUAUUGAUGCUGAAAACGUUGGAUAAGAAUUAUGAUCACGAGCGGAAUUGGUUACAACUCCCCCUAUGGACAGCCAUUACGACAGAUAAGGAUAAAAUAUUCUGUAAUUUCAAGUUCAUCGAUCAAGCAGACAACUAUUUCUAGUAAGUCGAAUGAUACAUCGGAAACCGUCUCGCUAUCGAACGUUGAAAUAUCCUAUCCUGCUCGGAACCAGCAGCCAUGGAAAGCGGAUAAACAAUAAAUUUGAGAGUAUGUACCGAUUAACCAAAACAAAGCCGCAGAGUUCAAACUGCGAAUGAAAAAAUCGGGAGCAGCAACAAAAGGCAGCUGGCAGAGACGUUUCUGACCUGAAUGUUUGGCAUUCUUUAAAAAAAAGUCCAAUACUGGGACUCUAACGCAUUGAACUAACGUAGAACGGCUUCUUACUGCGCCGAUGGCGUAAACGAUUAUUGCCAAAAUACGUGCUAUAACAUUACGAACAGACGAUUUGUUUUCUGUCUAACGACUUCUAACAAAAAGAAAGAAAAAUCUCUGGAACAGAAGUAUCACCCAUUUUCGCAACAUCACAUACAGCCGACGUUCCUACUCCAUCCAUAUAAGUUUAAAUAAAAUAGGCGUGCCACUCAUCACACGAUUUCUUUCCGGUCGAUACAGAAGCUGUCUUCAACGGCAUAUCAGCACUGGUUAUCAAAUCCACCGGAAAAUACUCCGUAUUGAGCGAAGUAUUUGGAAACGAUCAUGGCUACUAGAAGUGAUGACCAACCUCGACGGGAGGUGCUAGCAUUUCAGAAACACCGCUCAUAACAAAAACAAUACAAGAACAUAAGCCAGGCAAAUGAGAGUUUCCACUGAAUGCGGGUUUCUUUUUAUUUUACAAUAAAGCUAAAUCUUACAAUCAAAGCAAAUACAAAAUCUGCAAAAUUGAA
Molecule: long non-coding RNA, 1254 nt
Organism: Topomyia yanbarensis
Lineage: Eukaryota; Metazoa; Arthropoda; Insecta; Diptera; Culicidae
Exons: 4
Source: RefSeq, a predicted model, not a curated record